GCGCCCUUAGCUCAGCAGGAUAGAGCAACAGCCUUCUAAGCUGUGGGUCAGAGGUUCGAAUCCUCUAGGGCGCG
Transfer RNA from Bacilli bacterium VT-13-104, 74 nucleotides. It matches the Rfam family "tRNA". Rfam says of the family: Transfer RNA (tRNA) molecules are approximately 80 nucleotides in length. The record is from Rfam. NCBI's taxonomy places the organism in Bacteria, Bacillati, Bacillota, Bacilli.